CCUACGGGUGGCAGCAGUGAGGAAUAUUGGUCAAUGGCCGGAAGUCUGAACCAGCCAAGCCGCGUGAAGGACGAAGGUGCCAAGCAUUGUAAACUUCUUUUGUCAAGGGACAAAAUCAGGCUCGAGCGCCUGACCGAGGGUACUUGAAGAAAAAGCAUGGGCUAACUCCGUGCCAGCAGCCGCGGUAGUACGGAGGAUGCGGGCGUUAUCCGGAUUUAUUGGGUUUAAAGGGUGCGUAGGCGGGCUGUUAAGUCAGCGGGCAAAUGCCGGGGCUCAACCCCGGCCUGCCGUUGAAACUGGCGGCCUCGAGUGGGGGAGAAGUAUGCGGAAUGCGUGGUGUAGCGGUGAAAUGCAUAGAUAUCACGCAGAACUCCGAUGGCGAAGGCGGCAUACCGGAGCCCAACUGACGCUGAGGCACGAAAGCGUGGGGAUCGAACAGGAUUAGAUACCCCUGUAGUC
This 459-nucleotide ribosomal RNA is filed under the name uncultured bacterium. Its description in RNAcentral is "partial 16S ribosomal RNA". It matches the Rfam family "Bacterial small subunit ribosomal RNA", at positions 338 to 795 of the family's 1533-position model. The record is from RNAcentral.